This 523-nucleotide ribosomal RNA is filed under the name Nebria brevicollis. RNAcentral describes it as "partial large subunit ribosomal RNA". It matches the Rfam family "Bacterial large subunit ribosomal RNA", at positions 1808 to 2599 of the family's 2925-position model. The record is from RNAcentral. Lineage: Eukaryota; Metazoa; Arthropoda; Insecta; Coleoptera; Carabidae.
CAAAAACAUGUCCUUUAGAAUUUAAUUUAAGGUCUAACCUGCCCACUGAAUUUUUUUUGAUGGCCGCAGUAAUUUGACUGUGCAAAGGUAGCAUAAUCAUUAGUUUUUUAAUUGAAAGCUUGUAUGAAGGGUUGGACGAGGUAAAAUCUGUCUCUAAUAAAUUUAAUUUAGAAUUUAACUUUUAAGUCAAAAGGCUUAAAUAAUAUUAAAAGACGAGAAGACCCUAUAGAUCUUUAUAUUUAAAAUAUUAAAUUUAAUUAAGAAUUUUUAAAAUUUUAUUAUUUUAAUUAUUUUAUUGGGGUAAUAUAAAGAUUAAAAUAAUUCUUUUUUUUUAUUUACAUAAAUUUAUGAAUUUGUGAUCCAAUUAUAUUGAUUAUAAGAUUAAGUUACCUUAGGGAUAACAGCGUAAUUUUUUUAAAGAGUUCUUAUCGAUAAAAAAGUUUGCGACCUCGAUGUUGGAUUAAAGAUUAUUUCAGGUGCAGAAGUUUGAAAAUUUUGGUCUGUUCGACCAUUAAAUCUUUAC